CUGCAUGGUUGUCGUCAGCUCGUGCCGUGAGGUGCGGGUUAAGUCCCACUAACGAGCGCAACCCUACCCUUUAGUUGCCAUCAGGUUAAGCUGGGGACUCUAAAGGAACUGCCUGCGCAAGUAGUGAGGAAGGCGGGGAGUGACGUCAAAUCAGCACGGCCCUUACGUCCAGGGCUACACACGUGCUACAAUGGCCGAUACAGAGGGCAGCUACCUGGUGACAGGAUGCAAAUCUCCAAAGUCGGUCUCAGUUCGGAUCGGAGUCUGCAACCCGACUCCGUGAAGUUGGAUUCGCUAGUAAUCGCGCAUCAGCCAUGGCGCGGUGAAUACGUUCCCGGGCCUU
Molecule: ribosomal RNA, 343 nt
Filed under: uncultured Sphingobacteriales bacterium
Lineage: Bacteria; Pseudomonadati; Bacteroidota; Sphingobacteriia; Sphingobacteriales
Description: bacterial SSU rRNA
Rfam family: Bacterial small subunit ribosomal RNA
Source: RNAcentral